AUUGAACGCUGGCGGCAGGCUUAACACAUGCAAGUCGAGCGGGGUGAUGGUGCUUGCACUAUCACUUAGCGGCGGACGGGUGAGUAAUGCUUAGGAAUCUGCCUAUUAGUGGGGGACAACAUCUCGAAAGGGAUGCUAGUACCGCAUACGUCCUACGGGAGAAAGCAGGGGAUCACUUGUGACCUUGCGCUAAUAGAUGAGCCUAAGUCGGAUUAGCUAGUUGGUGGGGUAAAGGCCUACCAAGGCGACGAUCUGUAGCGGGUCCGAGAGGAUGAUCCGCCACACUGGGACUGAGACACGGCCCAGACUCCUACGGGAGGCAGCAGUGGGGAACUUUGGACAAUGGGCGCAAGCCUGAUCCAGCCAUUCCGCGUGCAGGAUGAAGGCCCUCGGGUUGUAAACUGCUUUUGUACGGAACGAAACGGCCCCUUCUAAUACAGGGGGCUAAUGACGGUACCGUAAGAAUAAGCACCGGCUAACUACGUGCCAGCCGCCGCAGUAA
Molecule: ribosomal RNA, 502 nt
Filed under: uncultured bacterium
Lineage: Bacteria
Description: partial 16S ribosomal RNA
Rfam family: Bacterial small subunit ribosomal RNA
Source: RNAcentral